UUAAGCGACUAAGCGUACACGGUGGAUGCCCUGGCAGUCAGAGGCGAUGAAGGACGUGCUAAUCUGCGAUAAGCGUCGGUAAGGUGAUAUGAACCGUUAUAACCGGCGAUUUCCGAAUGGGGAAACCCAGUGUGUUUCGACACACUAUCAUUAACUGAAUCCAUAGGUUAAUGAGGCGAACCGGGGGAACUGAAACAUCUAAGUACCCCGAGGAAAAGAAAUCAACCGAGAUUCCCCCAGUAGCGGCGAGCGAACGGGGAGCAGCCCAGAGCCUGAAUCAGUGUGUGUGUUAGUGGAAGCGUCUGGAAAGGCGCGCGAUACAGGGUGACAGCCCCGUACACAAAAAUGCACAUGCUGUGAGCUCGAUGAGUAGGGCGGGACACGUGGUAUCCUGUCUGAAUAUGGGGGGACCAUCCUCCAAGGCUAAAUACUCCUGACUGACCGAUAGUGAACCAGUACCGUGAGGGAAAGGCGAAAAGAACCCCGGCGAGGGGAGUGAAAAAGAACCUGAAACCGUGUACGUACAAGCAGUGGGAGCACGCUUAGGCGUGUGACUGCGUACCUUUUGUAUAAUGGGUCAGCGACUUAUAUUCUGUAGCAAGGUUAACCGAAUAGGGGAGCCGAAGGGAAACCGAGUCUUAACUGGGCGUUAAGUUGCAGGGUAUAGACCCGAAACCCGGUGAUCUAGCCAUGGGCAGGUUGAAGGUUGGGUAACACUAACUGGAGGACCGAACCGACUAAUGUUGAAAAAUUAGCGGAUGACUUGUGGCUGGGGGUGAAAGGCCAAUCAAACCGGGAGAUAGCUGGUUCUCCCCGAAAGCUAUUUAGGUAGCGCCUCGUGAAUUCAUCUCCGGGGGUAGAGCACUGUUUCGGCAAGGGGGUCAUCCCGACUUACCAACCCGAUGCAAACUGCGAAUACCGGAGAAUGUUAUCACGGGAGACACACGGCGGGUGCUAACGUCCGUCGUGAAGAGGGAAACAACCCAGACCGCCAGCUAAGGUCCCAAAGUCAUGGUUAAGUGGGAAACGAUGUGGGAAGGCCCAGACAGCCAGGAUGUUGGCUUAGAAGCAGCCAUCAUUUAAAGAAAGCGUAAUAGCUCACUGGUCGAGUCGGCCUGCGCGGAAGAUGUAACGGGGCUAAACCAUGCACCGAAGCUGCGGCAGCGACGCUUAUGCGUUGUUGGGUAGGGGAGCGUUCUGUAAGCCUGCGAAGGUGUGCUGUGAGGCAUGCUGGAGGUAUCAGAAGUGCGAAUGCUGACAUAAGUAACGAUAAAGCGGGUGAAAAGCCCGCUCGCCGGAAGACCAAGGGUUCCUGUCCAACGUUAAUCGGGGCAGGGUGAGUCGACCCCUAAGGCGAGGCCGAAAGGCGUAGUCGAUGGGAAACAGGUUAAUAUUCCUGUACUUGGUGUUACUGCGAAGGGGGGACGGAGAAGGCUAUGUUGGCCGGGCGACGGUUGUCCCGGUUUAAGCGUGUAGGCUGGUUUUCCAGGCAAAUCCGGAAAAUCAAGGCUGAGGCGUGAUGACGAGGCACUACGGUGCUGAAGCAACAAAUGCCCUGCUUCCAGGAAAAGCCUCUAAGCAUCAGGUAACAUCAAAUCGUACCCCAAACCGACACAGGUGGUCAGGUAGAGAAUACCAAGGCGCUUGAGAGAACUCGGGUGAAGGAACUAGGCAAAAUGGUGCCGUAACUUCGGGAGAAGGCACGCUGAUAUGUAGGUGAAGUCCCUCGCGGAUGGAGCUGAAAUCAGUCGAAGAUACCAGCUGGCUGCAACUGUUUAUUAAAAACACAGCACUGUGCAAACACGAAAGUGGACGUAUACGGUGUGACGCCUGCCCGGUGCCGGAAGGUUAAUUGAUGGGGUCAGCGCAAGCGAAGCUCUUGAUCGAAGCCCCGGUAAACGGCGGCCGUAACUAUAACGGUCCUAAGGUAGCGAAAUUCCUUGUCGGGUAAGUUCCGACCUGCACGAAUGGCGUAAUGAUGGCCAGGCUGUCUCCACCCGAGACUCAGUGAAAUUGAACUCGCUGUGAAGAUGCAGUGUACCCGCGGCAAGACGGAAAGACCCCGUGAACCUUUACUAUAGCUUGACACUGAACAUUGAGCCUUGAUGUGUAGGAUAGGUGGGAGGCUUUGAAGUGUGGACGCCAGUCUGCAUGGAGCCGACCUUGAAAUACCACCCUUUAAUGUUUGAUGUUCUAACGUUGACCCGUAAUCCGGGUUGCGGACAGUGUCUGGUGGGUAGUUUGACUGGGGCGGUCUCCUCCUAAAGAGUAACGGAGGAGCACGAAGGUUGGCUAAUCCUGGUCGGACAUCAGGAGGUUAGUGCAAUGGCAUAAGCCAGCUUGACUGCGAGCGUGACGGCGCGAGCAGGUGCGAAAGCAGGUCAUAGUGAUCCGGUGGUUCUGAAUGGAAGGGCCAUCGCUCAACGGAUAAAAGGUACUCCGGGGAUAACAGGCUGAUACCGCCCAAGAGUUCAUAUCGACGGCGGUGUUUGGCACCUCGAUGUCGGCUCAUCACAUCCUGGGGCUGAAGUAGGUCCCAAGGGUAUGGCUGUUCGCCAUUUAAAGUGGUACGCGAGCUGGGUUUAGAACGUCGUGAGACAGUUCGGUCCCUAUCUGCCGUGGGCGCUGGAGAAUUGAGGGGGGCUGCUCCUAGUACGAGAGGACCGGAGUGGACGCAUCACUGGUGUUCGGGUUGUCAUGCCAAUGGCACUGCCCGGUAGCUAAAUGCGGAAGAGAUAAGUGCUGAAAGCAUCUAAGCACGAAACUUGCCCCGAGAUGAGUUCUCCCUGACUCCUUGAGAGUCCUGAAGGAACGUUGAAGACGACGACGUUGAUAGGCCGGGUGUGUAAGCGCAGCGAUGCGUUGAGCUAACCGGUACUAAUGAACCGUGAGGCUUAACCU
This 2901-nucleotide ribosomal RNA is filed under the name Escherichia coli. RNAcentral describes it as "23S ribosomal RNA". It matches the Rfam family "Bacterial large subunit ribosomal RNA". The record is from RNAcentral. Lineage: Bacteria; Pseudomonadati; Pseudomonadota; Gammaproteobacteria; Enterobacterales; Enterobacteriaceae.